GCAGGAAUUGCACUGCAAAUCAGAAGAACAGUGUACCAAGUCCACUCCCCUUUCCCGACAGCUGUCAACACCAGGUGUUGGUGAGAGCAAGGAAGGAGGCACGCUCAGCAGUUCCCACCAGGCUGAGGAGCACUCAGUUGUGAACACAGCGAAGAGAGAGGAUGCAGACCCCUCGCACACAGAUAGAUUAUUUCAGCUCUCUGGAAACCUUACUUUUAUUAGAAACUACCUCAAAUGCCACAUUGUGUUUGGUUACAAAAGACGUGGAGAAACUGAAGAGAGAGUGUCUGGAUUACGAGAUGUUGAAGCAUUGACUAUGAGAGAAGAUUGUCCUCGCUUACCCCAGGCACAGGCAGGUUUGGGGAGGGUGAUUAGAUAGCAAUCUUCUGAUGGAUUGCUCUAAAGGUUAUUUGAGAGAGGACUGUGAUAAACUUGUCUUCACAGUUACUCAGAGAAAAUAAAAGGAAAUUAUAUCAAUUUGCAGCAAAGAAGAUUUAAUUUAUACAUUUGGAAAAACCCAACCUUUUUGACCGGAGCCCUGAAAUAGCAGAAUAGACUCAUUAGGCAUGUUGAAAGUUUGCAGAAACCCACUGGACAAACCGUUUUAGGCAAUGCCUAAAUGCAGUUCCUCCUUUCUCGAUGAAAGGACUUUACAUAGAUCUUCUCUGAGGGCUCUUCCAAACACCAUCUUCUUAGUCUACAGUUUCAUUUUUAGGUAGUGAAUCGUUGAAGUUACAUAUAUAUAAAUUCACCAGGUUUUAUUCACACUGAGAAUUAGUCAACUUUAUAUCCAGUACUAGCUGGCCUACAUGUUGCAUGCUUCACUGAUUUGUGUAUGACUGUUAUGAUAUCUGCUGUUCUCAGCUCAGCCAAAGAACGUGCUGACCUUAUAGGCUUCACCAAUAAUUUUUCUACCAUCCAGCAGUAAAUGAGGAAACAAGUAUGAAAGGUGAUGAUUCCACAGUACCUGCUGUCCAUGCUGUAAUACUGCCUACAGGCUAUAACUGAAAAUCCACCGAAUGAGUACAGCCCGUGUGAAUCACGGUUACGAGGCGUUCAGUACAUUUACAGCUCCGUGCACCCCUAUAAAAUCCCAUCUUGGUUGCCAAGAACAUAUCUCUAAGAUUUAAAGGUUUUGUUUUUUUUUUAACUACUGAGGGGAAGCAAUAGUCUGACAAAAAUUAAUUCAUAGGUGUGAAGUUUUGCUCGAUAUUUUGUAAAAACUUGUAAGAAACCUGUUGAUACACUGUGUGGCAUCUUUAUAGAUGCUGAAUAUGCUGAAUACAAGUAGGAAACAGAUGUCUUCUAAGUGAAAAGAUAAAUUCUAAUCUCAGUCAUUACAUGCUAACUUUUUCUCUUUCCUCAUGUUAAUCUGUUCUUCAAUUUUUAAUUUUCUGUUUUAAGCAAUACUGCUUUUGUUACUGAUUGGAUUGCCACAGUAUAUUUUGUCAAAGUCAGGUCAGUUUUUUUCCCCAGAAGUAAAUGUGAAGUUCUCAUUUAGUGAAAAUAUAACCUUACAGUAUAAAAGAAAGCUUCUUAGGUUUUUAGACCAUUUACCUUUCCUAAUGACCAUCUGUACACAGGCUGUGUGUCAACUACCACCAUCAGUAUUUAUUCACUCAACACAGACUUUCUGGUUUUCUUCACAGGCCAGGCUUUGUAGAACAGGCACAGAUGUAUUACCUGUAGUAUCUCUGCUUGUCCUGUGUCAGAUCUCAUAAAAAAUGGAACAUCACCUCAUUCACAGACCCUAAGCACUGGCCACAGUUAGGAGGUGGCAUCCAGAGAAUGAAGUGCUGCUCUCACAUGAGCUUACAGUAAUAGAAGGAAGAAAAAAACCUAAGAUUGAAGGAAAACUAUUUAAAGUAUCUUUCAGAUAAAAACUGACAUGCAUUCUAGAAUUAGAGGAUGCAAAAACACAAGAAGGGCACAAAACUAGAGUGAUAAUAAUGCGUAAACAAUCAGUAAUGUAUGGUAAAUUCAUUUCUUUCAUUGCUUGCCUGAUUGUCCUAGAGCAGAAAUCUUCCACCAAAGUGUAGUGUUGAUCAUGUCAGUCAGGCCUGGCCUAACACCUGUUUGAUUUAAUGUGCUAUAGGAGACAGCAACAGCAAUUUUCAGCUGACUGCUGUGGAAACAUAGCUAUUUUUCAUGCAGAUGUGUUCAGAGGUGAAAUUUAUGAGUUUAAGUGGAACAGAUCUGAAACUCAACGGUUUUUUGUGGUAUAAAAUCUUCUGCCUCAUUUUGGCUACACUUGCCAUUUGGAGAUUUUGUAUUUAUCUCAGCCUGUAAACUAGAGCAACAUUAGCGAGUGUGAACCUGAGAGAACCGUCCAAGCAGCAAGGGUUGUCAUGAAAACCCAGACAAUCACAUUUUGAGCAGUCCUGCUUUAUUUUGUCAAUUUUUGGCUAAAGAGAUCAGGCGGGAAGCUAAAAACCUGAUGGUCUCAUGCCCUCUUGUCUGCAGCCACUUUCCAGAGGAGAGGAACUGUGUUUGAAUUUCAGUUUCAUCGUGCAGCCUCCAACACACAAGCUAUCAGCCAGUUCAGCAGUUGUGCAAAUACAUUCUUGUCCAUUAAACAUCUACAGAGCUGUGUGUUAUGAACGAGUAACACUAUUUUAUUGCUGGGUUCAUUCAGGACUUGGCAUGAGUGUCUUUGUGAGUUAUUUUUGUGCCAUUUUUUUCUCUUGAAAAUGUCUGAAAUAGUUUUAAUGUUUUAGGAUGUUCUGCCUUUGAAUGGAACAUAUUUUAAGAUACUCAUACUGUGGAAAUCUGCUAUAUGUCCUACAGCCCCAAAUAAGGUACUCAAAAAGAGGAAAAGAUGAGCAGAGAUGGCUUUGACCUGUCCUUAUACCUUUUGGAUGCAGUGUUGCUCCAGCAGUCCAAGUCAAUCCUCACAGGCACUGCAAGUUGCCCUAGGUCUUGCAAAGAGCAGCAUUUCUGGACUGAAGUGCCUCUACAUGAUUUUACCACCUCCUGGUGACCAGUAAAGCCAGUCCUGUUUCUGGCAUGUUGCUCAUGGCCGUGUUUGGGAGAGUUUAUUAGACAACUCUUCCUUGCCAUCUUAAUUCCUGACCUGAAGCAUCACCCCUCUUCAUUUUCAAACCCAUAAAACCCCUUUCAUAAAUCUCUGCCCCUCUCACCCAGAGCACACAUUCUUCAGCUUCUGGGUAAUACAACUGUGAAGGUGAGUAUUUUGGUCCAGUAUACAUAACUGUAUGGCAAAAUUAUAUUCAUAUCCUGACAGAUGAUUGGAGUAAAAAAAGGUGUUGUCUUUUGAACAGCCUGCAAUGUCAGAGAUGUAUCCACAAGAUCAUCUGAUUGUGUUUCUCAUAGUGGAUCAAGUUUUUGAUCACGUGCUUUCUUCUUUUUAAACUUACAGUCUUCAUGAAAGAUACUGGAAAGCAAUUUUAACGCCUGUACUAAUCAUCUGUGAGAACUGAGGAACAGUACAAUGGCAGCAGAGAUAAGCAAUGGGAAGAAAGUAAAUCAAUAGGCUGACUCUGCUAUGCGAAUUUAAAUAUUUACAUUUGUGGGAUUAAUGCCUAAUUGACACGACUAAGAAAAAUAUUGGCUUUCUUUUGGGAAAAUUCCAUUCAUAUACAUGGUUCAUGAAAGGAAGAAAUCUGGGAAUAUGUGAUGCUGGAAGAGAUGUGAAAAAUGAGGACUGGUGUAGAGGUGCAAGCUGAAUAUGAAAUUGCAAAUCAAGCUGCCACAGUGGGGGGAACCUCAUAAUGGAGCAGAAGAUGGAUAUUCCUGUGCUUUGCUGAGCUAACAGCAUGGGCUGUAGCCUGGGCAGAAAGGCAGCAACAGUUAAAUUCUGCAGUGAUUACAAGUUUAUAGUUCUACUUAGUCUGUUUAAACGUGGUAGGUUCCUGGAUAUACACCUUAUUAUGCCUCAACCAGGUGAUUGUCAACCCUGUUCCUGUAAUGGCAACUUUUUUUAACCUGUAACACCUUACACAAGAUGAGUAGUCUCAGCUGGUCCCUCUUAACUAGAAAAGCCUCACUGAUGCCUGAUGCUGCAGCUAUGGACUUAGUCUGGCAAUUUGUCAUACAAGUACAGUUUUGCAAACAAAUUCAUUCAAAUACACUAAUUAUGAUGAUAUUUGUCCUCUUAACAAUUUCCAGGGGUAAUACUUAAAGUCAUUGAUUGUGGCUGGAUGGGUAAGAGAGGAUCACUUCAUGGUCUCCUGCCGACAGUGCAGAUGAGAGCUGAGGAGCAAAGACACUGCUUUCCUCAUCCACCCCCUGUGUCUGCACUUGUUCUUUGUAAGGUUGAAAAGCUUUUUACAAUGAAUGAUUCCAGUGACAUGACUAGUAAGAAAUCUGGGCCUUGGAUGCAGAAUUGAAGCAGAGAAAUGAGAAGGAGUUAAAGAAACAGCAAGAGGGACUUCCGUGGCUGUACUUGUUUUUCUUGGAUAAACUUUGGACUGUUCACCUUGUCUCUCAGAAAUUAUUCAGUGAACUGGUGACUCCAUGGCGUUUAUUAUUUUAAUUACCAUCAAACCAUGCAGAUGAAAUUUACUGGAUAAUAAAUCUGUAGACAGAUGUACUCUGAAUAUUGUCAUGUGCAAUUGUAAAUUUGGGAAAAGAACAAGAUUUUACUUACCACAUUUAAUUGGGCACAGAACAGAAAGGCUCAGGAAUUUAUAGCCAAUACUUUCAUCCACUAAAAACAUGAGAUUUUUCCAAUUUGUAAAUUAUUGGCUUAAUUUAAUUCAAAUUGUGUCAGCAGGAGCACCUUGGAGUCAUUAUUGUUUGUAGAGCUUGACCCUUUUGAGGGAUGUCCAGAGGAGGGAAGAGCAGAAGUUGGGAGGAGCACAGAAUUAUUUGUACGCCACAAAUAAUUAAAAGAUAUAGGGAACUGAGUGUGUUGGAUAAAACCUAUUGAGUCCUGUUUUCUUCCAGCUGGUGGCCAGUGUAGGAAGCAUAUUAGAAGCACAGAAAGUAAGGAUUCCACAUCAGCAUGGGUCGUAAAAUACAAGUGAAACUGCCAAAGGCCUGAGAGACUGUUUUCCUGCCAAAGGCCCUUAGGGACUGACCUUAGGCAGCUGUUUUCCUGCUCCCAGUUACAGGGAGAGGUUGCUCUAUGUGGCCAUCUCUUUGCUGUACCCUGAUUUUACAAAAUACAAAGGCUCUUGAGAGGAAUGAACUUUGAACUAGUCAUUUGCAGAAUUAAUUUGUUUUCUCCCCUUCAACAAAUGGCAUCAGCCCUGCUUGUGUGAGAGGAAAAGCCAGCAGUAACAAUGCACAGCCAUGAGUGGCAAUCCCAGCCUCCAAACAAGUGUGGAUCUGCAAAGCCUUCUUCAGGGGGCUGGCAGAGAGAGAAACGGAGAGUGCAGAUGUUGCAUGGGAAGGGUCUGUGACAGGUGGCCCCACACUCCAAAUUUCUUUAACUUUUUAAAAUUUUCAAUAAAAAUCCCUUUGACCCUGGCAUUUUCUAUACAGACAGAAAUUAUUCUCAAUGUGCAGUGUUUAGAGUAUAAUACCAAUUACAGGCCCAUUUGAAUGCUCACAGGAAGUAGCUUCAUUAUUCAUCCUGUUGUCAGCUUCUUUCUGAUAAUAUGUGAUAGAAGUAACUAUUAAUACUUGCAGUGUGGCAAAAUGGGAAAGUAAAUACCUAAGAAAGCAGUGGUUCUGACAGCAGGCAGCCUCCUCAGAAAUGACAUAUUCUAUGAUUUUGAUGCAACAUGUCCUGGCGAUCAAGACUGCCUUCAACAGCUGAAAGCAUUGUGUCAUUAACUGAGCUACAUAAUGUCAAUAACCUUAAAUAUAAAGACCUAAAUCCCUUGCUUUAUCCAAUGCCCUGCAAGACACCAAACAGAGCUGGACUCUACCCUUGGCAAAGGACUGGCAAAAGCACUGUGUUUUUCACAGGCACCUUUAAUCCCAGCAGGCAGAGCUCAAGAAAUACUGCAGGGGAUUGCUUCCCAGCUUACUUUGGUAUUGCCUUCCCACCAGUCACGCUUCGCUGGGUCUUGCCGCGCGUUCUCAGCAGCAGAGAUGCAUCAUUAUGCACCCAAAAAAACAAAGAGAGCUCAGAUUGCUUCAAAGGACGUGGGAUCUGCAGCCCAGGCUGAGGGGGGCUGACAAAGAGUGAGGAAAAGUCAGGCUUCAGUAACUUUUAAUGACAGCUCUCGUUAAGAUUAAAAAACAGCUCAGCCAUUGUCCUGUGAUUCAGUCUGAAGGGGUGCCCAUCACCCUUGUGCUGCAGGUUGCAGCACCACGAAGGAGGUUAUUAUCCUCAAAAUUAAUCAUUUGGAGCCACAGCAACAGGAGUGCAAUGCUGAGAUACAAAAGUCACUGCUGUCCGCCAGACUGGAGACUGACUGCUGCCAAUGCAGCCAUCCCACCUUUUUGCAGGAUCCUGUCUCACCCAUCAAACUGCAUUUUUGUUCCAAGUGGGAAGAAGCAGGUUGUUUCAGCAAAGUCUGUCUUUGUCUCCUUUCCCAGGCCCCCUGAUCAGCCCCUGGAGUGACUGGUGCAGAUGGACACUUACAAAUAGCACUGGUUGGAAAAAUAGCAAAUAAAUUACCAUCCUUCAUUUGUCCCAUUUCUUAGUAUUUAUUUGGCUAACAGAAAGGAAAGUGUAACAUUUUAGAAAGCUCUUAUCAUCCUUUCCUGCUUUUACUGGAAAUAAAGACUAUGGAAGCAAAAAUCUGUGGUCAGGAUUUGUAGGAGUCAAUGCAUUCCCAAGCUUUUGAAACUCUCCAGAAAUGCCAUAUACUUAACCUAUUUCCUCAUCAGUCCCACAUGAGCCCUUGGAUAUCUUUUUGGCUUUAAGAGCAUUGUGUCUUCCAACAUCACAGACAAAAUCUAUCCAAGUCUUAGUACACUGGCCACAUCUUCUGUGAUCCUCUACUGAGGAUAAACUCUUUUCAUCACUCACCUCUCAGUAACUUUCCUGUGUCAAGAAUGGACUACGUUCUCAUUAGAUGAGUGAGACAAAGUGAAAAUCCAGCUGUUGAUGUUUCUUUUCUUCUGAGAAAGAAAUAAUAUUUAUUUACUAUGAUUUGUGCUACACUAGGUCCUGAAAGCCCCAGAGGAGACACAAGCCCUGGAAUGAUAUGGGCUACACAUGAGAUAUGGCUACACAUCCUGAAAGUUUACAGUCUAAAAUAAGAAGACAAACAACUCUGAUGUUAUUGCAGACAAAGAAUAUCGCAUAUCAUGAAAUUAAACAGUCCCAGUGGGAGAGAGAUUUGCUUGGAUCUGUGGGUAAGAUUGACAGAAAUUCAUCCCCUGAGUGUAACAGAAUAAAAUAUGAGCUUAGAACAACAUCUAUUACCAUACAUUUAAUAAUUUAAAUGAUGUAUACUUCGUCUGUGCCUCAAUUAACAUCAGGCUAGCCCAUCUAUUUCAGUGCUUGGAUAUCUUCUCUACUGUCUGGCUUUCUGCUGUACUACUGAUAGAGUAAUGUUUCAUUAUUAAUUCCUGUUUCUCAGGAAUUUUUUAUUCUGUAAAAUAGCUCUUUGUAGCAGUUAUCUUGAACUCACAAUAGCUUCACAUUAAGAAUUCAGAGGUAUCAUAUGACUGUUAUUUUAACAUCAUCUGGGUAUUCAGUUCCACAGAAUUAUGAAAUGAAAUUAUGAGAAGGGGUUUAGAGAAUUUACAUGUAAGACAUUUCACAGUCAUUAGCAACAUCAGCAAAGCCCUGUUGGACCAACACAGGAAGGCAGAAAGAAAUGCUCCUAUUUUUCUAGUGUUCUGGAGUGGUUUUCCCAUUUGUUGACUCUAGACAUUUUUUCAAGUGAAACCUAGUUCCAGGAGCAUGGGAAAUCGCCCUAGAUGUACAUUAAUACACUGUGGAGGACAAAAACCUGAUCCUACACAAUAAAUCAUUUUCCAUUUCAUUUCAAUAUGCAACCACAUGAUAGCACACUGGGGAAAAUGGAAAUGUAAUGGUAUCGCAGCUGCUCAUGGGCACAACAGCAGGAGGACAAACCCAAGAUAAUACUGAGUUCAGAAGUUCAGAUCCAGCACAGGGUUACAAAAACUGAAUUACAACCAUUGCUGGACUCGAAUCCUUGGAGCAACUACUCCCCCGACACACACACACAGUGUCUUGUGUCUUACAGCAGAAUUACUGGGGUGCUUAAAAUGACAACCUUCAAGUGUGAGUAUUUCUGCGCUUCCCUUGCUAUCUUCAGUAAUUUCUCAGAAGACCCAUGACCUUGUUCUUUCUCUGAUAAUUAUGGGAGUUGCAAACCACACAGAACACCAUUUUUUAAAUGCUUUUAAAUCCUAUUUUUUAGCACAAUGGAAAUGUCAUGGCAAUAGCAUGAUGCAUGCACACAUAUUAAAAGCUUUUUUGCAGGAAUAAAAAGGUCUACAAAGUGAACAUACUUCUCAGUGUAUGUAAAAACCUAUUGGAUUUUAAUGCCUCAGGGCAUGAAAAAUCAUCAUUUAACCCAAAGUUCUCACCAUGUUUGGAUGGAAGCAUCACUCCUAAACCAAAAUCGCUACCAGGUACGCUGGAAGAGUGGGAAGGAGAGAAAUGCUGUGGAGAAUGCACAGGGUCCAGCUCCCCCAUAAACUCAUGUACCGUCACUGGCUGACAAACAGACUGUCCCAAAAGCACCACCUCAGACAGGGUAAGGCUUUGUAAUGGUUUUCACACUGCUAAAGAUAUUUGUAGGAAAUGGUGCUCCCUCGGCCUGAUGCUCACCAGCUCCUUCACCCACCCUCCACAGUUCAGAGCAAGCAGAGCCAUAACAAGAAUAUUCCCUGAUUUUUGCUUUAAUCACUGAUCCCAAGUUUCUUUGAUGUUUUAAUUCAGAACAGAGCCUGCAGCAGGAAGAAGGUGUGGGGAGAGGACUAGGGUCACUCGUAUCUCCCACUGCAGCUGAAACCAUGGAGAUUUCCGUGGGACUUCAGCAAAAGAACAGACCAGUAGAGAAAGGCCAAGGGAGGCACUGAAGCAACUUAGCAAAACGGUGGGUUUGUUGCUGCGACUUGCUGCUGCACUCCUUUCUGACAGUGAUCCAAGGAAACUGACAGCUGGUCAGAGGAUGUGUACUGAAGAGAUUUAUUGACUUGUGUGGCCUCAAAAAGACCUUGUUGGUGCUGUGUUCAGUGGGUCUCUAAUUUGUUUUCACUUGCUAUUUUCCUAACAAGAUUUUCCAUUUCUCUCUCUCUCUGUCUUUUCCAUCUGAGAACAACAAAUUAGGCUUUUAAGUCUGAAUGUAAGGUUAUCAAACAUUGCAGUAGGAUUUGCAACACUUGUGCUAUCAUGGAAUUCCUUGUUGUAGCGAGCAUCUCACUGCAACAUGACAAUAUAUUCUUAACACAAUGGAUUUCAUAGAAACAGUGAACUCCAUCCCAAUUCAGGGAAAGGAGCUGAAUGGAAUAUCCACCACGCCUCUGCCUCACUGGAGAUAUCCAUCACAAUUUGGCCAAAAGCACUGCAACAGUUACAUGUCACCGUGAUUUAGCAAAAACAAUCAAACAAAAGAGCUGCUGAAAUAAAGUCACUGAAAUAUGCUUCUUUCAACACACCUUGCAUAAUAUUUCUCCUCCCAAAUUUAUGUUUCUCUUCUCAUCUUUAGGAAUCACUAGAACUACAGCUCCCCUCUUUUAACCUAGGGUCAUUUCUCACUCUUUCGGUUGGCCCACCAUAGUCUCAUGCCGUUCCAGCACCAUUUCACUACAAGCAAAAUCUAUGUACCAAUUUGUACUCUGUAUUUCCUUUUCCUUCAUGCCUAGAUUUUUCUAAAACACUUCUAUACCUACACACUCAUCUACAACAAACUAAAAAAAAAGCACUUUGAAAACUUAUUUCUUUUCAGAAGAGAAGGAAAUAGGUUUUGCUACUGUUUCAUUUAUAGGAUCCCCUUAGGGGCUCGCAUAGAUAUGUUUUGCUGCAGGUUUACUGCAUUGCCUGUGAUUUCCACUUAAAGGACCCUGGAAAAAACAAAAAUCAUGAUAUUUUCCCCCCAUCUAUCUCAAACAAUAUCAGAGAGUAGAAAAGAACAGUCAUUUGUCUUUUUUAAAAUGAUAUUUUAAUUACUCAUGUCAUGCCUCAGCAAAAUGGCAAGCCUUUUGUUAAAAUGGGGCUUAAUUGCAUUAUGAAGCCUUCAUGGGACCCUCGCACAUAAAGCGCUUUUCUUCAGACUUUCAAGACCUAAAUUUGCAGUUGGCUCCUGACCAGCGCACUCGAGCAGAUAGGCACGUAGGUAGGGGGCAGACCCCGUGUUGAUGAAGUAAUCACAACUGACUGCCUCGCAUGUGCUAUUCCACAAAUAUGCCCGCAAACAAAAAUUGCAUCUGCAUGUUGGUUUUCAUUUUAAGUUCAUUCAGGAAAAAAAAAAAACUUAACCAAAAAAAAUCCCCAGCCCUUAGUAUGUCAGAAAGCAUGGAGACACCUUCACGGACUGUUGGCUACGCCUCACCAAAGCUUUACAACAAUCUGUUAGACAAAAAAGAGACUGAUGCAGAUACCUUAACAAGCAUCCCAUCUGUGAGGUCAUUGGGAUAUUUCAAACAACUUUCAGCUCUCAUUAGUUUAGCGGAUUCCACAAGCAUGUCCUUAUCUUUUGUAACUUUUGCAGCCAAACUUCCUGGGAAAGCCUCUGAGCUGGGUGACAUUCUUACCCAUGGGUCAUUCUGCAGUAAUGAGCCACCAAUUUAUGUGUCGUUUGCACUCGCAGGCAGUAUAUGUUUAUAUUAACCUUUAUGUUGUGAAUUUUUUCCUUUAUCCAUGUAAUUCUCUGGGUUCUACCAUGCAAAUCUCAUUAUUUCUAAUAGGCUGCAAUUAGGAUAUCCACGCUGUUGAUCACAGUCAUUUGCAACACUGACGGGCAUUUUCCAAGAAUAAAUGCUUUAUUUUUUACUAUAUGAGUGAUGGAAUGUGUAACAGAAACUAUGCCUGAAAAAUAAUAGUGACUAGUGGAGCUGCAGGAUCAUAGGAAUCCUUAUCAGCUCUCUGGUUUUGUACCUUCAAUUAACACAGGAGGUAUAGCAUAGUCUAUUGCUUCACAUAAAACACGCCAUGCAUGGCAUUGCACGGAAAUGAGAUUUACAAUUUUUCAAGUCUGCUAGGCCUGAAUGAGUAAAUGGGUAUUUAUUACAAUUUCUUACAGUUUUAUGCACUUGAAAGGGAUAAAGCAGGUUCAUCAGCACUUGCCCACAUGUUAGGUCUUUAUUGCACUAAUGAGUACCCCUUUAAAGGGGAUGUUGUAAUGCUGUUUUCUUUUCUAAGAACUCCCAUGUCUGUAUUCAGAAUUUGUUGGACUGAACCAUUCUGCUAUUUAAGGUACAAGAGGGUAAUAUCCACAGCCCUUAUUCAGAUCUUUCUUUGGCUGCUGUUGUGUUCUGAGUUUUGCAUGAAGGACAUGGGUGGAAAAGGAGAACUGGUGAAACACUGAUAGCAGAUGGAUGCAGUAUGAAGAAGUAAGAAGAGAUGCCACAGAAUGUUUGCAGGACCAUAAAAGAUGUGAAGUUGAAGAUACUGUCCUGUGGGCAGGUGGAACACCACCUCUGGCAACAUCCAAAUAGCCUGAAAGAAUCAAGCAUCAAAUUUCUUUCAGCAAUCUGUAUAUGAAAUGACUGAAGAACUGAAGACUGCUAUGAAUGGGUCAUACUACAUGGUAUAAAACUUGCUUCUUUCCAAGCUGGUGCUCUCAUUGCAGUGUAUGCCUCUCAUGCUAGAAGACAUCAGCUUUGUCACAGAAGAAAAUGUUGGUGAAAAUCAGGGAAUCAGCCACAUAUACCAUGGAAAACUGGUCUGCUGUCACAGAGAUCCUCCCAACUGCCCCGAAGAAAGUCCAAGUCAAAAGAAAUGCUACUGCAUAUGCCAAGCCACAGACUUGUGAGGAACACAUGAAGAACCUUAUUGGAAUACAGAAAUGCCUUGUAACUCCACUAAAUCCCACAACAAUCCCACAUUUCAUGUGGUUAAUAGGGAAAGUAUCUGAUAACUGGGCGCAGUAAUUAAAUGAGUCCUCCACAUCUGCUAUGAGCAGAGAUGUUUACCAUGGAUGGGGAGCUACUGCACUUCCAGCAGCUUCAGAGAGGGAAUUUAUCCUAGCAGGAAUUGAUUUCUGCAUUAGAGUCUUUCACAUCUGCCCAGUUUACAAAAUUGCCCUCUUUCUACUUUCUGUCCCAAACAGCAUGGCUACUUUGAAUGACAGAAGAUAUGCCACUGAAAUACCAGAGACAUUUUCUGAAGCGAUGGAAUGGACAGAUGCUGAAGGAAAGAAAUGAAAGAUAAUUUUGAUGAAGAUGAUCUUACUGUAUACUCUACCCAAAUAAACACUGCUGUAUUUUUUUCAAGCAUCAAAAUAGACUUGCUGGGAGAUGAGAAUGAGAAGUCAGGAAUAAAUGAAGUGUUUUCCAAGAAGAUGAUAAAAAUAGCUUCUGCUAAAGUAGAAAUAGCUGCUCCUGGGGACACAUAAACCCCUGUGUCAUUCCCAUGGAAACAGGGAAGACUUUUAAUUAUCACAACAUUGUUAUGAUAAUAAAACUAAUAAAAACAAUGAAAAUCAAAGGGAGUUACACAUCCACAUAUUUAACUAUUAUACUUCACACUGCAUUUAUUCAACUUUUUUCAUUACCUCACUAGAUCUUUCCUCAAGACACUUAAUAUUGAAAAGAAAAUCCUUCCUGCUUGGAAAAGAAAGCCACAAGCUAAUACAAAUAGCAAUCCUGGAGCGAUUGUCGCAAGAUUUACCUUAAAAGAACAAAAUAUUUUUGUUCUACUCACUUGUACUUUUUUGAAUACUCUGUUCUAUUUUAGGUCAAGAGUAACAUGGGGGAAUAGCAAGGUGCCUGGAGAAAAAAUGAACAAGAAUCACCAUAACUCUGGGAGCUAUAAUUUACAAGAAGACUGGUGGGCUCUAUCUAAAGAAAACUAAGGGGAGACACCAUGUCAGACUUCAAACAUAUACAAGACUGUAGACAGAAGAACUUAUUCGCUGUAUCCUUAAUGAAUAAAACAUGAUGUGUCUGAACUGCAAGAAGGAAAUCCGAAGCAUGACAUUUGACAAAGGGCAACAAAGCCCCAGAUGUACUGUCAAAGGACAGAGUGGGAUCUCCAGAGGGAAAGGUUUUCAGUAGAGCUCAGACACACAUCUGCUGGAAGCAUUAGAAGCAUAUUUGAUCCACGUUUGGCAACAACAGGGUGGUCUGUGUUAUCCUUGGAGAUUCUCCUCAGCCCUCCAUGGCUCCAGAUCUGUAAUUCUUCUUCUUGGCAAUUUCCAGCUGUAAUUUUCAGCCACUUGACCUCCUAGGCUGCUCGCUCCGCCUUGUGCAUGGGGACACAAAGCCAAGGAACAUGGGGUCCCAAUGGGGUGCUCCAUGUCCUCUGGAUGCUCAUGCAUGCUUUGCUGGUACUGCGAGCCAUGCACCUGCAGCCAAGGUGUGUCUCCAGGCCUCAGCAGGUGAACCAUGCAUGGGUUUCCCCUCCCAUGAGCCAGGGCAUGACCACAUCCACAGCAGAGUUGGAGCUGUUAGUCCCAGAUGGCACCUGACAGGUGUAACAAAAGAUGCUCUCUCUGACCACGUGUGGAGUUGACUAUUUUUUGCCACAAUUAUUUUCCUGCCAUGUUUGGUGUUUUAUAUCUGUGUUUUGUUGACAGAUUUCCCAAAGGGGUUGAUAAGAGGUGCCAAGAAAAUAUUUCAAGUAGGGUGAGCCGGUAUCAUCAGCCAGCCUCAGUGCUUGGCAUUAAGAUGGAAGGGAGUGUGGAGCCCAGCUCAUAUUAAUACAGGUCUGACUUGUCAAAACAAGGUUUGGGAAUCAGCAGAAGCAGGUGCAUGUAUUUCUCCUGGUAUAGAAGAUGUUGGGAUUUUCUCUCACAUUUUCUUAGUAAGAUGAAAAAUGUCUGUCAAAUGUUAUCCAUCUGUGGAAACACUUAGCAAGGUUAUGCCUGAAUCUAAAAAGAUACUAGGUAUAACAGGUAAUGCCAGACAAGAGCAUGAAAAAAGAACAUAAGUCUGUUGAUAAAGUACAGGAACAGAAGUAAUUAAAUUUGAUUUUAUUGCCAAACAAGUAAAAAAUGGCAGGGAUGGCCUCUGGAAAGUCCCUAAUCAUGUUGUUUCACUGUUUGGCUCUCUAAAAUGGAAUUUUAAUAAUUACCCACCUCACAAAUGUGCUGUAGUUCUGUGCUUAGAAAUGAUUGCGAAAGGGUCUGUGAGUAGCUGAGAAAAAAAUGUUGUUCACAUCAUUAUCACUAUGAUCUGUGUACACUUAUGCAAAUACAUCUGUGUCCCUAUGUGAUUUAUUUCAGAUUCUGGCUGGAAUUUAGAUGUAAGUAACUCCUUACACUUAAAUUGUUCUUCUAUAGUUAGCACAAUGGAUUGACAGAGUUACUUAUACUUAUUGCAAACUGGUUUGCUGUAUAAUCUCGACAGUUGCCUAAUCUUAAAUCAAGACCAAAUAGGGAAGAGCCCAGUCAAAAUUCAUCCUGCAAUGUGUAACAAGGAUACUGCAGAGCAAAGUAUGUUGAGGAGGGGUACAUUAACACCACAGGAAGGAACUCUUUUCUAAAUGUCCAAUGUUGGCUUAAUAAACAGAAUCCAUAUACUUACCUGUUGAAAUAAUGAUUUCAGCUGACCUUGAUGGAAGAGUAAGAAUUAUGCUCCAUACAGCACAAGUCAGGCAACAGCUCAGUAAUGCAACUCCACAAGCCAAGCUUACCUGGAGUAUAUGUCUAAAAUACCUGGGCUACGCAAAACUGCCACAAACUUGUUCUGUCAGUUCAGAUUAGUCCAGAUUACUCUACAGAUACAUGGUCACCUGUGCAGAGUUAAUGCCAGACUAGACAGGAUUUCUUUUCAUACUGCUCUUAUGGGUAUCACAUCUCCUUAGGCAGUUGGCAUAAAGUGUAAAAACUGUGAUAGAACAAGUUUAUUGUUCCAGAUGAUCUGACAGCACAUUGAGGUGGCAUUACUAUCCAUCCAUGGAUCCUACAUCUCAGCAUGCUGGGAGAUGACUGGCUUUAGAGGAGUGUGCAUGCUGUGCUACUUUGGCUUCCAACAAUUAAGAGCUUGAAGGAGAGUUAAAUGAAGGGGUUGCAGUUGUUAACGUUACCGGAAAGGAGGACUGCUCAUCAAUGUGAACAUUAAAAAUCACAGUAAAAUCAUUUAACAAGAUUGUCAACUAAUAGGAUUGAAAAAGCACUCAGAUAUGAGUGACAUUACCAGGACAAAAACGAGUCAGCUUCAGAACUCUGCAAGAGAAAAUAUGUAUGGGCUAGCACAGAGCAGGCAGACCCCUGGCUGCUUCCACCUGCAGUGUUUGGUAAAAGUGUAUUAAAGUGCACUAAAGUGUACCAGGGCUGCCAUCAUCCCUGCUCUGCAAAGACACCACAGGCCACAACAAUCCAGAAAUGAGCCACAGUCAAACUCAUUCACACCAAUAAAAACAAGGUAGAACCAUGUACACGACAACAGCAGAGAAACAUUUUUCUAACUUGCCAAACCACCAACAGGAGCCUUUUCCAGUGCUGUCUUGGUACCAAGUUCUUCUUACGUUUAAAUCUUGUGUGGUGAUCAUGUAAGUUUUGGCCAGGCAUCCACAGGAGCUAGAAAAGACAGCUUCGGUCCUCAUUACUUUUUAAGACCUCCACCUAAAUAAUGAAGUCCUUAUCAGCCUAAGCAAGCCGAAGGGUUUCCAUCUCUUAAGCUUUGCUACAGGCAUCUCUUGAAUACAGUGCAUUCAUUAAUUAAAUUUGACAAAGUUGCCUGAUGCUUGUGCAGAGGCUGCCUUCUCAGGCAAGGUUGCCACUCAGGGACAUGAGUAUUGAAACUACUGACUAUCAGAUAGGCACCAUGAACCAAUAUCAUUUGUAUCUAGUUCUCUGCACUGCUAUUACUUCAUCUUGUUGGUGUCCAGCCUUCUCUGCAGCAUACCCAAAUCACCUGGGAUACUAAGCUUGUUUCCCAUGCUUGCAGCCUGCUGAAGCCCUCCUCUCUGACUUGAAUCAAUGUGAAAACAAUGACUUAAAUCAAAUGGCCCAUCGUUUCUCUUGAUUGGAAUAACUUUAAAGAAAAUGUUAUGCCGCUUAAGUCAAUGGGAUAAUUUAGAAAAUAUAGAACUUGUCAAGAUUUUUCAAAACCUGCUGCCAUGCAAAAAUGUUUAAUAUAAGAUUGGCACAAUCACUUUUUCUGCAGGCAGUAUAUAAACAGUGAUGCUGUUUGUGUGCUGCAAGCAAUCCUUAGUCACACCUACUAAAUUAUCUGCACCUCCCUCCUCUCUCUCCCCUAGCCUAUGCACUCUUCUGGGAGUGACUUCCCACUUAUCUCCACAGCAGUAAGUGCCAUGCAGGCAGAGCUCUGCCCACUUUGGAAACUGCAUCAGAUUGUUACUGCUACCCUAUUUUACACUUGUAUUGUUUCAGACUUGGCAUCCAUUUCUGUGAUCCUUAUCCAGCUGAAGAUGACAAUAAUUGGCUUGUCCCCCUAAUCUGAUGUCAGGUUUCUUAUCUGAGAAUUUAGUAUUUUCUGAAGACAGAAGGCAUAAAUCAUGCUCCAGCAGCCACGGCUUUGCAACCUGAUCCAAUGCAAAUGGCUGAGUAUUAGAUAGAUAUCCUGAACUAAUCUCAAUCACUCUACUUUCAUCUACUUUUUGUCUUCAGUAAGACUUUCUCUUGCAUGAACAAGUGAAAUGUACGCCUACUGCCUCUUUACAACUUCUUCAUAUCUGCCUUCUCACACUUCUCUUUCGAUAACAUAAGCCAGGAUUACUUUAAUGAAGGAAAAGGAAAAUAUUUUACUAUGCCUGUCACAUGCUCUUUCACAGCCUGUGUGCUGGUGGGCUUUCUUGCCCAGGGGGAAGGGAAAGGUCAAGGCACAGAAAUACCCAAGUCUUCUUCAGCUUUCGCUCCAGGACAUAGUUUAUUAUCCAAACAUCAGAUUCAUAUAGUAACACAAAGCAAAGCUAUUCCCUCAUCCAAAGCCAGCUGCAGGGGCUCCCAGGCUUUCCAUGCCAGAAAAAGGGCACACAUCUUCCCCUAAACCCCUGAUGAAUCAAGUGACAAGCAGGCAACCUGUAACCCUUUCCCAACUGUUUAACCCCAUCACAAUGGGGUUGGAUGUUGUGAAUGCUUUAUUCCAGGGCUGGAGCAGACAGUUUCACACUCUUUCAAGUUUCUAAGUGCAAAACACUUCAAGGUUGGUUUGGUUUUUUGGUUUUUUGGGGUUUUUUUUUGUUUUGGUUUUUGGGGGUUUUUUUGAGGGGGGAUGGUGGUGGUGGUUUUGGUUUUUUGGGGUUUUUUUGUGCAUCAGUGCUUACAGCAACAUUAGGUAAUUUUGCUACACUUACUAAAAAAUCAGGUUGUGGUCUGCAAUAUGUGUUGGGGUUUUUUUGUUUGGUUGGAUUUUGGUUGUGUUUUUUUUAAUGAAAAUCUUUCUUCCUCAGAACAAACCUAUAUAGACUUUUACAUUUUUAUAAAUAUAUUGACCACAGAAAGAUUAACUAUGUGUUUAAAAGUUCACAGCUUCUGCGAAGUUGCUGCUAGAUGUGAGUUUUCUACCCUCAUAUAAAGUAUCAAGACAAAUGGGAAAGAACUACAAUGUGGAUAUGCAAAACUGUUACGUAUUUUAGAUUCUUAGAACUGAAAAACAGGGUAAAUGGUAAACUAAUAAGGAAAAAAAGCAUUUUCAAAAUAAACCCAAUUCCUCAAAAGGGCAGAUAAGGAGGGUUGCAGGCAAGAAGCAAAAAAAUAGCAGAGGAGAGGAGGGAAAAUCAAAUGGAUUUAUUUUGAAAGCUGAUUCAGAUAAAUGCUUUUUGCAAGUGGACCAUGGCUGCCUGAUGACUGUGGGCUUGUGAAGGUGGAAGAGUUGCAUUGUUGGACUUAAAAACAUGAGUAAAAACUCAGUCACUCAGUUGCUGUCCUACAAAUGUAAACAUCAUUUUCCUGGAUGCUGGCUGUACAAGGUGUAUCUUAAGCUAGAGAACAGUAGAAUAGAUAUUGGGCAGAUCCACACACAGUGACCACUCCCAAUUUUAGGGGGAAGCUGAGGCAAAAAAAAAAGAUUAAAUGUGCUUAUGUCCAGAACUGCAAACUUACAGAGGUCUUGUAACAAUAGGUCCAUCUUGUUUUCUGUCAUUUUAACAAUCACUUUAUGAUGUCCUCAUUUGUAAGAGUAGCACUUGACUUUCUGUACCUUGUCCCUCUGUUUCUGAGAGAAGUGUGAGUAGAAGACCUGUGCUUUAAAUCCCAUAAAGCUUCAUUUAACUCA
Molecule: long non-coding RNA, 18180 nt
Organism: Corvus hawaiiensis (hawaiian crow)
Lineage: Eukaryota; Metazoa; Chordata; Aves; Passeriformes; Corvidae
Exons: 5
Source: RefSeq, a predicted model, not a curated record